CCGUUCCCAUGCCGAACACGGAAGUUAAGCUCUUCAGCGCCGAUGGUAGUUGGGGGCUUCCCCCUGCGAGAGUAGGACAUCGCCAGGC
RNAcentral lists this ribosomal RNA (88 nucleotides) under Bacillus licheniformis. Lineage: Bacteria; Bacillati; Bacillota; Bacilli; Caryophanales; Bacillaceae. The record is from RNAcentral.